Molecule: ribosomal RNA, 671 nt
Filed under: uncultured bacterium
Lineage: Bacteria
Description: bacterial SSU rRNA
Rfam family: Bacterial small subunit ribosomal RNA
Source: RNAcentral
ACAAAACAGAAGCCUUCGGGUGGAAGAUUUGUGGAUUGAGCGGCGGACGGGUGAGUAACACGUGGGCAACCUACCUAUAAGACUGGGAUAACUCGUGGAAACAGGAGCUAAUACCGGAUGUAUCGUUUGAACGCAUGUUCAAACAAAUAAAGGCGGCUUUACGGCUGUCACUUAUAGAUGGGCCCGCGGCGCAUUAGCUAGUUGGUGGGGUAAUGGCUCACCAAGGCGACGAUGCGUAGCCGACCUGAGAGGGUGAUCGGCCACACUGGGACUGAGACACGGCCCAGACUCCUACGGGAGGCAGCAGUAGGGAAUCUUCCGCAAUGGACGAAAGUCUGACGGAGCAACGCCGCGUGAACGAUGAAGGUUUUCGGAUCGUAAAGUUCUGUUGUUAGGGAAGAACACGUACCGUUCAAAUAGGGCGGUACCUUGACGGUACCUAACGAGAAAGCCCCGGCUAACUACGUGCCAGCAGCCGCGGUAAUACGUAGGGGGCAAGCGUUGUCCGGAAUUAUUGGGCGUAAAGCGCGCGCAGGCGGUCUUUUAAGUCUGAUGUGAAAUCUUGCGGCUCAACCGCAAGCGGUCAUUGGAAACUGGAAGACUUGAGUGCAGAAGAGGAGAGUGGAAUUCCAUGUGUAGCGGUGAAAUGCGUAGAUAUAUGGAGGAACACC